CAUUUAAAUAAAUUUCUUUACCUUAUAAAUUAAAAUUAUUUUUAAUGUAACAAAACAUUAAUUAAUAAAUUAGACGAUAAGACCCUAUCGAACUUUACUUUAGUUAAACUGGGGAAGUUAAUUAAUUAUCAUUUUAAAUAAAUUUAAUACAAAAAUGACCUAAUAAAAUUAAUUUUAUAAUCAAGUUACCAUAGGGAUAACAGUGUAAUAUUAUCUUAAAGAUCUUAUAUAAAAUAAUGAUUACAACCUCGAUGUUGACUUAAUAUUUCUUUAUUACGCAAUAGUAAUAUGAGAAAGUCUGUUCGACUUUUAAACAAUUACAUGAAUUGAGUUCAGACCGGCGUAAGCCAGGUCGGUUUCUAUCUUUUUUUUUUUUUUAACGGCACAAAGGGGCCAAAAAAAAAAUUUUUAUUUUUUCUU
RNAcentral lists this ribosomal RNA (420 nucleotides) under Xysticus bimaculatus. RNAcentral's name for it is "partial 16S ribosomal RNA". The stretch from base 72 to 365 matches the Rfam family "Bacterial large subunit ribosomal RNA", at positions 2078 to 2643 of the family's 2925-position model. The record is from RNAcentral. Lineage: Eukaryota; Metazoa; Arthropoda; Arachnida; Araneae; Thomisidae.